RNAcentral lists this long non-coding RNA (1226 nucleotides) under Bos mutus (wild yak). RNAcentral describes it as "lncRNA (ENSBMUG00000014322.1)". Lineage: Eukaryota; Metazoa; Chordata; Mammalia; Artiodactyla; Bovidae. The record is from RNAcentral.
GUGACACCAAACUUGAUCAGAAACCAUGCCACAGGUGAAGAGGUAUAUUGAGCCCUGCCUGGCCAGUGAGGUUACUAGAGAAUUGGAAGAGGCUCAAGUCAGCAUCCUGCACAUGGUUAUCAAACCAUUGUGAAGUCUUAGUAAGUGGUCAGUGGCUCUGGUGGGCUUGCCCAGUUAGUGGGAAGGGCCAGGAAAAGUAGUCUUACUAGGCCUAGACAGUUACUUCAUAUCUUCCCAUUAUGACAUGAAAAAAGGUCUUAAAGUAUUCAGACUAUACUAGAGACUACUGAGCCUAACUCUCCUUCUCCCAUUCUUGCAUUUUUGUAGAUGAUCUCUUACAAGAUCAUAGCUGGUUGGUCUAGAAAAUAGAUUUGAAUCCUAGCCCAGUACUGUGUCUUCCACCUAGUGCUUUCUCUAGAUUCCAUCUAAGUCCAUGGAGGCCAUGUGAGACAAACAUUUUUAUUCCACACUGUGAAAGGUUUUUUAAAUAGCCUCUGAGAUUGUGCUCCUCUAAUAAAGGAAAUGUCCAUGAUGUAAUUUUUUUAUUAUUCAUAUAGUCACCUGGGAUACUUGUUAAAAAUGCAGAUUCUUGGGCAGCUAGAAACCUUGUCACUGGUCAAGAGCAACAAGUAACAAGACCUACUUGUCACUUAUCCUGAGGCAUCGUGCCCAGUGGGUUUACCAGCAAACCAGAAUAAAGCAUCGUUGCCCUGGAUGUCCUUGUGAGAUGGUUGGGAAGUCUUGGCUGAACUGUGGAGAAUAUCUUUGAAAAGUGUUUUAGAGAGUCUACCAGAUUUGCCAUGUGAGUGCCUGUGCAGCAGAAGAGUGGGUCUUCUCAGUGGUUAAGGUAACAAAGUGAUUAAGGGCCCUUAAGCCUGGUUUCUUUCCAUGGAAAAGAGCAUGACAAAAGACUGAGUGUCGACAUGUCCCUGGCAGCAGGCAUGAACGAAAGAAAAUGGCUGUGCACAGAGGGAGAAUUGAUCACUGUCUGUUCUUCAAAGACACUUCUCUGGCAGUGGUUGGGGCUGUUAGCGCUCACUGCCCUAACAGAGACCUGCUUCAACAGGGUACGAAGAUCCAUCAUUUGGCCCAGCUGUAUUAUGGGAUCAUCUGACUUCACGGUGUCAUUGAAAGGCUUACGUGUGCUAGUGGAUGAAAAUAUUUCAACGGAGAAGCUGGUAGAAGACUUCAUGAAGGAGAAGAAAAGGAAAAAAAUCAAAGGAUGA